UAGUCACGCGUAAACGAUGAGUGCUAAGUGUUGGAGGUUUCCCCUUCAGUGCUGCAGCUAACGCAUUAAGCACUCCGCUGGGGAGUACGACCGCAAGGUUGAAACUCAAAGGAAUUGACGGGGGCCCGCACAAGCGGUGGAGCAUGUGGUUUAAUUCGAAGCAACGCGAAGAACCUUACCAGGUCUUGACAUCCUUUGACCACUCUAGAGAUAGAGCUUUCCCUUCGGGGACAAAGUGACAGGUGGUGCAUGGUUGUCGUCAGCUCGUGUCGUGAGAUGUUGGGUUAAGUCCCGCAACGAGCGCAACCCUUAUUGUUAGUUGCCAUCAUUCAGUUGGGCACUCUAGCGAGACUGCCGGUGAUAAACCGGAGGAAGGUGGGGAUGACGUCAAAUCAUCAUGCCCCUUAUGACCUGGGCUACACACGUGCUACAAUGGGAAGUACAACGAGUCGCUAGGCCGCGAGGUCAUGCAAAUCUCUUAAAGCUUCUCUCAGUUCGGAUUGCAGGCUGCAACUCGCCUGCAUGAAGCCGGAAUCGCUAGUAAUCGCGGAUCAGCACGCCGCGGUGAAUACGUUCCCGGGCCUUGUACACACCGCCCGUCACACCACGAAAGUUUGUAACACCCGAAGUCGGUGAGGUAACCUUUUGGAGCCAGCCGCCUAAGGUGGGAUAGAUGAUUGGGGUGAAGUCGUAACAAGGUAACCAAGGGCGAAUUCCAG
Molecule: ribosomal RNA, 719 nt
Filed under: uncultured Enterococcus sp.
Lineage: Bacteria; Bacillati; Bacillota; Bacilli; Lactobacillales; Enterococcaceae
Description: bacterial SSU rRNA
Rfam family: Bacterial small subunit ribosomal RNA
Source: RNAcentral